Small nucleolar RNA from Drosophila nasuta, 145 nucleotides. RefSeq annotates it as small nucleolar RNA psi28S-1192. Lineage: Eukaryota; Metazoa; Arthropoda; Insecta; Diptera; Drosophilidae. The transcript has a single exon. The record is from RefSeq and is a predicted model, not a curated record.
AAUAUGUCCAGUCUAAUUCUGCGUCAUGUCAUUGGAUAUUGACGCAGACUCGCUUUUGGACGAUAGCAACGAUAAAUGUCUUUUAUUAUCCUUGUGCCACAUGUAUAACACUCAUUUGGCACACGAGAAACGUAAAAGAACAAUU